This 136-nucleotide non-coding RNA is filed under the name Micromonospora aurantiaca (nom. illeg.). Lineage: Bacteria; Bacillati; Actinomycetota; Actinomycetes; Micromonosporales; Micromonosporaceae. The record is from RNAcentral.
CUGUCGCGACAACUGAACCACCGCGUGUACGUGCGGGGGAAGACCGGUCGAAAUCCGGCGCUGGCCCGCAACGGUAGGCCGCCCAGAGAAAUCUGCGGCGGCGAGCCCGAAUACCCGUCGUACGCGUGCAUCCGCU